Molecule: small nuclear RNA, 101 nt
Organism: Oryctolagus cuniculus (rabbit)
Lineage: Eukaryota; Metazoa; Chordata; Mammalia; Lagomorpha; Leporidae
Gene: U2
Rfam family: U2 spliceosomal RNA
About the family: U2 is a small nuclear RNA (snRNA) component of the spliceosome (involved in pre-mRNA splicing). Complementary binding between U2 snRNA (in an area lying towards the 5' end but 3' to hairpin I) and the branchpoint sequence (BPS) of the intron results the bulging out of an unpaired adenosine, on the BPS, which initiates a nucleophilic attack at the intronic 5' splice site, thus starting the first of two transesterification reactions that mediate splicing.
Source: Ensembl
AUCACUUCUAGGCAUUUUUGGCUAAGAUCAAGUGCAGUAUCUGUUCUUAUCGGUUUAAAAACAGUUUUAGAGAUUUAUUGGAUACUAUCAAACAACCCAAC